UACGGAGGGAGCUAGCGUUGUUCGGAAUUACUGGGCGUAAAGCGCGCGUAGGCGGCUUUGUAAGUUAGAGGUGAAAGCCCGGGGCUCAACCCAGGAACUGCCUUUAAGACUGCAUCGCUUGAAUCCAGGAGAGGUGAGUGGAAUUCCGAGUGUAGAGGUGAAAUUCGUAGAUAUUCGGAAGAACACCAGUGGCGAAGGCGGCUCACUGGACUGGUAUUGACGCUGAGGUGCGAAAGCGUGGGGAGCAAAC
RNAcentral lists this ribosomal RNA (250 nucleotides) under uncultured prokaryote. RNAcentral's name for it is "partial 16S ribosomal RNA". It matches the Rfam family "Bacterial small subunit ribosomal RNA", at positions 524 to 773 of the family's 1533-position model. The record is from RNAcentral.